GUCUACAGCCAUACCACCCUGAACACACCCAAUCUUGCCUGAUCUUAGAAGCUAAGGAGGGUAAGACCUGAUGAGUACUUGGAUGGGAAAAUACAAGAUAAUGAAUUCUCAUCUGUAGUCU
Molecule: ribosomal RNA, 121 nt
Filed under: Erinaceus europaeus (western European hedgehog)
Lineage: Eukaryota; Metazoa; Chordata; Mammalia; Eulipotyphla; Erinaceidae
Source: RNAcentral